AUGUCAUGUUAUCGAUAUGUGAAUACAUAGCAUAUCAGAAGGCACACCCGGAGAACUGAAACAUCUUAGUACCCGGAGGAAGAGAAAGAAAAUUCGAUUCCCUUAGUAGCGGCGAGCGAAACGGGAAGAGCCCAAACCAACAAGCUUGCUUGUUGGGGUUGUAGGACACUCUAUACGGAGUUACAAAGGACGACAUUAGACGAAUCAUCUGGAAAGAUGAAUCAAAGAAGGUAAUAAUCCUGUAGUCGAAAAUGUUGUCUCUCUUGAGUGGAUCCUGAGUACGACGGAGCACGUGAAAUUCCGUCGGAAUCUGGGAGGACCAUCUCCUAAGGCUAAAUACUCUCUAGUGACCGAUAGUGAACCAGUACCGUGAGGGAAAGGUGAAAAGCACCCCGGAAGGGGAGUGAAAUAGAACCUGAAACCGUGUGCUUACAAGUAGUCAGAGCCCGUUAAUGGGUGAUGGCGUGCCUUUUGUAGAAUGAACCGGCGAGUUACGAUUUGAUGCAAGGUUAAGCAGUAAAUGUGGAGCCGUAGCGAAAGCGAGUCUGAAUAGGGCGUUUAGUAUUUGGUCGUAGACCCGAAACCAGGUGAUCUACCCUUGGUCAGGUUGAAGUUCAGGUAACACUGAAUGGAGGACCGAACCGACUUACGUUGAAAAGUGAGCGGAUGAACUGAGGGUAGCGGAGAAAUUCCAAUCGAACCUGGAGAUAGCUGGUUCUCUCCGAAAUAGCUUUAGGGCUAGCCUCAAGUGAUGAUUAUUGGAGGUAGAGCACUGUUUGGACGAGGGGCCCCUCUCGGGUUACCGAAUUCAGACAAACUCCGAAUGCCAAUUAAUUUAACUUGGGAGUCAGAACAUGGGUGAUAAGGUCCGUGUUCGAAAGGGAAACAGCCCAGACCACCAGCUAAGGUCCCAAAAUAUAUGUUAAGUGGAAAAGGAUGUGGCGUUGCCCAGACAACUAGGAUGUUGGCUUAGAAGCAGCCAUCAUUUAAAGAGUGCGUAAUAGCUCACUAGUCGAGUGACACUGCGCCGAAAAUGUACCGGGGCUAAACAUAUUACCGAAGCUGUGGAUUGUCCUUUGGACAAUGGUAGGAGAGCGUUCUAAGGGCGUUGAAGCAUGAUCGUAAGGACAUGUGGAGCGCUUAGAAGUGAGAAUGCCGGUGUGAGUAGCGAAAGACGGGUGAGAAUCCCGUCCACCGAUUGACUAAGGUUUCCAGAGGAAGGCUCGUCCGCUCUGGGUUAGUCGGGUCCUAAGCUGAGGCCGACAGGCGUAGGCGAUGGAUAACAGGUUGAUAUUCCUGUACCACCUAUAAUCGUUUUAAUCGAUGGGGGGACGCAGUAGGAUAGGCGAAGCGUGCGAUUGGAUUGCACGUCUAAGCAGUAAGGCUGAGUAUUAGGCAAAUCCGGUACUCGUUAAGGCUGAGCUGUGAUGGGGAGAAGACAUUGAGUCUUCGAGUCGUUGAUUUCACACUGCCGAGAAAAGCCUCUAGAUAGAAAAUAGGUGCCCGUACCGCAAACCGACACAGGUAGUCAAGAUGAGAAUUCUAAGGUGAGCGAGCGAACUCUCGUUAAGGAACUCGGCAAAAUGACCCCGUAACUUCGGGAGAAGGGGUGCUCUUUAGGGUUAACGCCCAGAAGAGCCGCAGUGAAUAGGCCCAAGCGACUGUUUAUCAAAAACACAGGUCUCUGCUAAACCGUAAGGUGAUGUAUAGGGGCUGACGCCUGCCCGGUGCUGGAAGGUUAAGAGGAGUGGUUAGCUUCUGCGAAGCUACGAAUCGAAGCCCCAGUAAACGGCGGCCGUAACUAUAACGGUCCUAAGGUAGCGAAAUUCCUUGUCGGGUAAGUUCCGACCCGCACGAAAGGCGUAACGAUUUGGGCACUGUCUCAACGAGAGACUCGGUGAAAUCAUAGUACCUGUGAAGAUGCAGGUUACCCGCGACAGGACGGAAAGACCCCGUGGAGCUUUACUGUAGCCUGAUAUUGAAAUUCGGCACAGCUUGUACAGGAUAGGUAGGAGCCUUUGAAACGUGAGCGCUAGCUUACGUGGAGGCGCUGGUGGGAUACUACCCUAGCUGUGUUGGCUUUCUAACCCGCACCACUUAUCGUGGUGGGAGACAGUGUCAGGCGGGCAGUUUGACUGGGGCGGUCGCCUCCUAAAAGGUAACGGAGGCGCUCAAAGGUUCCCUCAGAAUGGUUGGAAAUCAUUCAUAGAGUGUAAAGGCAUAAGGGAGCUUGACUGCGAGACCUACAAGUCGAGCAGGGUCGAAAGACGGACUUAGUGAUCCGGUGGUUCCGCAUGGAAGGGCCAUCGCUCAACGGAUAAAAGCUACCCCGGGGAUAACAGGCUUAUCUCCCCCAAGAGUUCACAUCGACGGGGAGGUUUGGCACCUCGAUGUCGGCUCAUCGCAUCCUGGGGCUGUAGUCGGUCCCAAGGGUUGGGCUGUUCGCCCAUUAAAGCGGUACGCGAGCUGGGUUCAGAACGUCGUGAGACAGUUCGGUCCCUAUCCGUCGUGGGCGUAGGAAAUUUGAGAGGAGCUGUCCUUAGUACGAGAGGACCGGGAUGGACAUACCUCUGGUGUACCAGUUGUCGUGCCAACGGCAUAGCUGGGUAGCUAUGUGUGGACGGGAUAAGUGCUGAAAGCAUCUAAGCAUGAAGCCCCCCUCAAGAUGAGAUUUCCCAACUUCGGUUAUAAGAUCCCUCAAAGAUGAUGAGGUUAAUAGGUUCGAGGUGGAAGCAUGGUGACAUGUGGAGCUGACGAAUACUAAUCGAUCGAAGACUUAAUCAA
This 2784-nucleotide ribosomal RNA is filed under the name Staphylococcus aureus. Its description in RNAcentral is "bacterial LSU rRNA". It matches the Rfam family "Bacterial large subunit ribosomal RNA". Lineage: Bacteria; Bacillati; Bacillota; Bacilli; Caryophanales; Staphylococcaceae. The record is from RNAcentral.